CCCUGGUCACUGUCUCUGGCCCUGAUCCUGACCUGGACUUGCGGCUCUGCAUCCCAGCUCCUUGUUGCUGAGGUCACCACUGGCACCUGCCCUGCUACCACACUCUGCUCCUGGCUCACCUUCUUUUGCGGAGCAGCCAGCCCUCGCUGCUACCUGACAACUGUUGAGCACAACUUAUCCAGGACUGUCUGCAAAGGUCUCCUGUUAGUCUCUGCAACCAUCUGUUAUUCUGUUUCAGCAGUCCAAAACAUCAAACAGACUUUUUUUUUUAAGCAGUUGCCAAUUUCACUGAAAGAGAAGGACCUCAUGAAGAAGAGGAGAACAGAAUAA
This 330-nucleotide long non-coding RNA is filed under the name Dromaius novaehollandiae (emu). RNAcentral describes it as "lncRNA (ENSDNVG00000014837.1)". Lineage: Eukaryota; Metazoa; Chordata; Aves; Casuariiformes; Dromaiidae. The record is from RNAcentral.